Molecule: long non-coding RNA, 205 nt
Filed under: Elaeis guineensis (African oil palm)
Lineage: Eukaryota; Viridiplantae; Streptophyta; Magnoliopsida; Arecales; Arecaceae
Description: long non-coding RNA (EGUI_LNC066902)
Source: RNAcentral
GUAGGAUCUCCUAUCUUUUAGAAAGGUACUUGGCAUUUUUAUAAAGGAUUCAGAGAAAGUGUUUCUUGAGGGAGAUUGAGAACAUAAGGAUAAUCCUGAAACCUACAACGAGAUGAUGUUGUACAUCAACCCCGAGAAAUAGAUAUGUAGAUAGCCUACUAAAUGGAUAUCUUUGAAAGGUAUCUAUUUACAUUGGGCUAUAGAU